UUUAGUACUCAUUAAAAAAUGCUUGCCUUAAGUGUGGCUAGAACCAAACACCCAUCUAAUUUGGUCAAACUUGUCUAAUAUAAAUUGCGGCAAAGUGCGGAACCAAACAGCCCCAAGUCACUGACUGAGCCUUCGCUCGACUGACGCGCACCCUCGGUAGCGCCAUUCCCCAACUUGCGCCGCCCCAGAUCUGACCCACGCACCCACGGCGGCUCCACCGCGCCAACGCGAGGCAACUACACAGUACAUUCACGCUCGCCCUCUCCCCAACGCCUGCCCGACAGCACCGCAACAUCCCAGGCGACGAAGACCAGUCGUGGCCCGCCAAGGCCCGGAUCGGGCCCACCCGCAACUCUCUACAUGUCAUCGUCCCUAGGAACCUCCCCGCGCUCGCAGCGACGCGCUUGUGUACCACCACGUCGCCCCGGCAAGCCCCUUUGCGCCGACCAGUGCCAGUAGUGCGCCGAUGCCAGCCGCUCCACGCUACCGCCGGGCCGAGCCCACGCCCCGCGUGCGCGACGCGCUAGAGGAAACCGGAGCCCCACCGCCACCUUCUUGAGGCCGGCCCGAGCUUUGCCAGGAGGCACCCGUCGGUGGCGACGAGACAAGGAGGAAGAGGGGAUGAGAGUUGCAGCGGCUAGGGUUUUCACCCCUCGAUAGUGACGUGGGGGCCUCGUUUGUGUUUUUGCCCUCAUUUAUUACAUGUGUCGGCCUGGUGGCAACUAUGUAUCUUUUUUUUCAUCUUUGGUGUUUUUAUCCGUUCCUUUGUUUUUUUCUUAUUUCAUUUCAUUUUACUCUUUUCGAAUACAUAUCCUUUUUGUAAUAUGCAUUGUAAAUUUUUCGUAUACACGCG
This 853-nucleotide long non-coding RNA is filed under the name Hordeum vulgare. Its description in RNAcentral is "long non-coding RNA (HVUL_LNC013264)". Lineage: Eukaryota; Viridiplantae; Streptophyta; Magnoliopsida; Poales; Poaceae. The record is from RNAcentral.